This is a long non-coding RNA of Haplochromis burtoni (Burton's mouthbrooder), 4747 nucleotides long. RefSeq lists it as uncharacterized. The record is from RefSeq and is a predicted model, not a curated record. Lineage: Eukaryota; Metazoa; Chordata; Actinopteri; Cichliformes; Cichlidae. The transcript has 2 exons.
AUGAGUUUUUUGUGUUCAUUGAGAACAUGGUUGUUGUUCAAUAAUAACAUUAUUCCUCAAAAAUACAACUUGCCUAAUAAUUCUGCACUCCCUGUAGAUCUGAACCCCAGAUCAUUAGUCAGAUCAUUAACAAUAGUGGAUACUAACGUCAGAAUGGAUCAAAAAUUCGCCACCUCCUCUACAUGGAUGGAUCUGUAGCAAUGAUAUUGGAAUGUCAUUUGGACUGGAGAAGUUUAGUCGGAUGGUAACCAAGAGAAGAAAGGUAGUCAAAAUGGAAGGGACUGCACUACUAGAAGGCAACAUAGCAGACACUGAGGACAUCUACAUGUACCUUGGAAUCCCAAAGGCAAAUAGGAUCCAUGAAGGGGUUGCAAGGAAAACCACGACCACCAAAUACCUGCAGAGAGUAAAGCAAAUGCUGAGGGGUCAGGAAGAUUAACAUUCAACACCUACAUCCUGCUAGUCAUCAGAGACCCUGCAAGGAUAAUAAGCUGGCCAAAGGAGAAGAUAGAAGCUACUGGCAUCAAGACAAGCGCCUUACCAUGCAUUGAGACCUAAGGAGCUUGAAAGGGAGUGACUAGGCUCCUUUAAGUUUCGCAAAGACGUUUCACCUCACGUCCAAUAUGCUUCUCUUGUAAAACAAAAUGGUGGAGUCCCAUGUAUCUAUUUAAACCUCAGUGGGAGCUGUCCCUUAAGUGGUUCAUAGACCCUCUCAUGCCCCUCAUCACAUAAGUCAAGGUAUAAAAAACAGCAUGGGUUAUUAGCACUAAAGGUUUUGGGUGAAACCACUGUGAGACGUUGUCUCCCUAUCAUAUUACCUAUUGAGGUCACGUGACACAAGAUGUGAGUGGGAAUUGAGGCACCUGGGAAGGGAUCUCAAAACUGCAUUGUAUGUGGCAGACAGUUUUAAGCCACUCCCUCUGUUCAAUGAGUUUUAGACACAGUGCACAUAAAUCCUGUUUCACUGCUCUUACAAACUCUUUGUCUUCUCUGUCCAAAAUGUGAACAUUAGCAUCCUCAAAAGAGUGACCUUUAUCCUUUAGGUUCAAAUGUUAAGCUUAGUCUUUUCCUGUCGAUGUUGCCCUUCUGUUGUGCUAUGUGUUUAUGGAGGGGCUGUUUGGUUUCUCCAGUGAAGAGGUCUGAGCACUCCUCACUGCACAGCAUACACUACGUUGUUUAGUUUGUGUUUGGGAGUUUUGUCCUUUUGAUAAACCAGUUUUUGUCUGAGUGUGUGGCUGGGUCUGAGGUCCACUGGGAUAUAGUGAUUGGAGAAAAUUUGUCUGAUAAACCUGCUACAUAAGAGGUGACAGUGCUGUUCCAUUUGUUAGUGUUUCUCUUUAGUUGGUGUCUGACCAGGACAAGGGUCAGUUGUUAAGAGUCAACACCAAAAGGAUAAUGGUCACUUUUUACUGGAUGCCAAUUGUUACGGUCAUGGGUUGCUAGAAGGUUCUCCCUGUUUGAGAAUGCUGUGUUUUUCUUUUCUUCUUUCUCUCCCUCUCUCUCCCCUCUCCCUUUUCCUGUCUUUGAAGUUCCAGGUGCCGCGGCUGAGUAGCGUUAUGGCUUGUUAGCCAUAGGAGGCUCUGAGCGCCGUGUGUGUAUAGCGCUUCUGUUUUCUUUCUACGUUUGGAAUACUGUGAUAGUGAGAGAGAGCAGUGUAGGCUGGUAGGGGUUCUCCGCCAUUUUUGUUUGACCAAAGUUUUCUCCUGUUUUGUGGACAGCCAGAGAUGUCAGGUAUUGCAUUUUUUUUUUCUUGAGGGAAGUUAUACCAUGUGUUUUGUUUAUAGGAAGGGGGAGUGUUUUUGUUUGUUAUUUUGGCCUCAGAGAGCCUGAUGCUUUUAGUUUUUCAGCUCAGCUGUUUCAAGUUUAUUCAUUUUUUGCUUGCCCCUCCAGGAUUUGAUGUGGGUAAGAAUGAAACAGAAUUAGAGGCAUAUUUUAAUGCAUUUGAACAUAUUGCCAUAGCCUUGCACUGGCCUAAAGAGGUUUGGCCUCUGCUGAGGCAGUAUAAACUGGUGGGUAAGGCGCAGGGGGUGUGUGCGGCUCUCACCGUUAAGGACAGUUUAGUGUAUGAUAGGGUACUGAGUGCCAUUCUCAAAGCAUAUGAAUUAGUGCCUGAAGCUUACAGAAAGCAUUUCCGGUCCCUCCGUAGGCCCCCCACGCAAACCUUUCUUGAGUUUGCAAGGAAAAAGGAAUAUUGUUUGAUAGGUGGAGUCAGGAGAGUGGUGUUGUAGAUUUUACGGCAUGAUCCUGGGUCCUUUUGACCCAGCGUUUUGUGUUUUCUAUUAUUGUAAUUUUGGUUCUGUUCUUCCUCGGUUAGUGUUCGUGUAUAUCUGUGUCUGGUCUGCAUUUCUGAGUUUGUGUCAUUACGUGUAAGUGUUUCCUGUUUUACUUUGAAAGUCUCUGUCUUAUGUCAGUGUGUUCUGUUUACGUUUCCCCUACCUCGUCAGCUGUUAUGUCCCCCAGGCGUGUUUCCCUCCUGUUUCCCAUCCCUGAUUACUGGUAUGUGUACUUAUAGUGUGUGUUCACCCGUCCUAAACUAAUUGGUCUGUGUUGUUUCCCUCGGUCUCCCUGUGUCUCUCUGUGUAUUUUCCCAGACCUCCCUGCAUCUUCGUUUCUGGUUUGUUUUGUUAGUUUUGCCCAGUUUAGGUUUUACAGUUUCAUGUCCACCCGCACCCGCACCGCAGGGGGGGGAAUGAUCCUUGGGGAGUCAGUUUUGGGACCAAUCCUGGCCGAGAACAGGAGGGUGACUGCUGGUGGGUCGGUCCCUAAGUGUGCCCUGUGAAUGCCAAAGUGGCGGCGGUAGUAAACUACCCUGUUCCUACCACCUGGCGGGAACUUAGGCGGUUCCUGGGCCUCGUGGGCUACUAUCGGUGUUUCUGCUGGAACUUCUCAACCGUGGUGGCCCCUCUAACCCGCCUCUGUAGCCCAAAGGAACCUUUUUAGUGGACCACUGAGUGCCAACACAUCUUUGAUGGUGCUAAGUCCCUCCUGUGCAGUGCUGGCCGCCCCAGAUUUAAUUAGAGCAUUCAGCCUGGAGGUGGACGCCAGUGCCAUGGGGGCUCCAGAAGGGAACUGAUGACAUCAAUAAUCCAAUCUCCUACUUCUAGAGAUGGACUCUACUAGUUCAGGAAUACAACUUGGACAUCAGACAUAAAAAAGGGGUAGACAAUAUAUUAGCGGAUGCACUGUCCAGUGGACAUCAGUUAACCACACAGAGCACUGGUUUUACUAGAGGUGGAUUUUUAUGGGGGAGGGCGUUACGGUCGUGGGUUGCUAGGAGAUUCUCCCUGUUGGAGAAUGCUGUUUUUUCCUCCUCUCUCUCUCUCUCUCUCUCUCUCUCUCUCUCUCUCUCUCUCUCUCUCUCUCUCUCUCUCCCCUCUCCCUCUUCCUGCCCUGUUUUUCAGGUUCUAGGUCCCAUGGCUGAGAGUCCUUACGGCUUGUUAGCCAUGUGAUAAAAAAGGCGGGCAUUCUGCAAGCUUCAGCCAUUUGAAGUUUCACUUUACUGGACUUCUGUAAACUGAAUCUGAAUUUUCAGCUCCAAGAAAACUAUAAAACACUGAAGAAUUUCAAGCACAUAACUAAUUAACUUAAAUCUUUCAUUUAUUAUUCAGACUGGAGAAUUGCAGGUUAUCGGAGAUCAGCUGUCUGGGCUUAGCACUGAAGUCCAAUCCCUCCAACAUGAGAGAGCUGUACCUGAGUCAGAACAACCUGCAGUAUUCAGGAGUGAAACAGCUGUGUGGCUUUCUGGAGGGUCGAAACUGUAGACUGGAAACACUGGGAUUGAGGAGCUGCAGUUUGUCAGAGAUCAGCUGCCUGUUUGCAGCUCUGAAGUCUAACCCUUCCCAUCUUAAACAUCUGGACCUGAGAGGGAACAAGCUGCAGGAUUCGGGAAUGAAACAGUUGUGUGGUUUUCUGGAGAGUCGGCAAUGUAGACUGGAGACUCUGAGGUCAGAAACUGUGUUUUUGUUGUGCUGGCACUAAACUGACAGAAGACUGAUAUGAUACUAAACCAUAGUAUUUUGACCGUUUCAGUCCAAAAGCUAAACAUUUAAAACCCUAAUAUAAGAGAAGUCUUGGAAGUGAUUAUUUACUCUGACUUACCUUCUUUUUUUGUCAGGAAGAAUUCAGACCAGGGCUGAAACUAGGCAUUUUUUUUUAUUGGUUAAUCUCUGAAGUAUUUCUGAUAGUAUUAUGGCCAUUGUAGGUAAAGCCAAUAAAAAGAAAAAGAGAAAACCAUUAUAGGGACAGGAGGUAUAUUAUAAAGUGGUACAUUAUUUACAAAAACAGGCAGAAAACAAGAUCAGGGAAAACGAAAGAUGUGUGGUCAGGAAUGAAAAAGAUCACAGAACAAGAACUAUUAAACCGUGGGAAACCUAAAUAGAGCCAAUGUGUUUAACACCUUAAGUCUAGGACCCAUCCAAACUCACCUCAGCUCAGGUACAGAUAUAUGAAGGAAAUACAAAAAUACAAUUAAGUACAAUCAAUGAAAAAAGUAAGAUAAUACACUAUAUACAAUGGUAGCAUACACAGUAUGUGAUGGAUAUAGUUGGAAAUAUGGAAGACAAACUAUAUAGCUUGGAAGGUCAUGGAAGGUCCAUUUUUACAGCACAUCUUCAAUCUUAGUUUGAGCCAGGAGAAGAUACCAUUACUCUGGAAAACAUCCUGUUUUGUCUCAAUAUUGAUGAACUCUGCCCCAUCUGCCCUCUAUUGCACACUUGUUACCUUAACAUCUUACGUCAUUACUUUUUUU